UGGGGAAUAUUGGACAAUGGGCGAAAGCCUGAUCCAGCCAUGCCGCGUGAGUGAUGAAGGCCUUAGGGUUGUAAAGCUCCUUCAGUGGGGAAGAUAAUGACGGUACCCACAGAAGAAGCCCCGGCUAACUCCGUGCCAGCAGCCGCGGUAAUACGGAGGGGGCUAGCGUUGUUCGGAAUUACUGGGCGUAAAGCGCACGUAGGCGGCUUUGUAAGUUAGAGGUGAAAGCCCGGGGCUCAACUCCGGAAUUGCCUUUAAGACUGCAUCGCUAGAACGUCGGAGAGGUAAGUGGAAUUCCGAGUGUAGAGGUGAAAUUCGUAGAUAUUCGGAAGAACACCAGUGGCGAAGGCGACUUACUGGACGACUGUUGACGCUGAGGUGCGAAAGCGUGGGGAGCAAAC
RNAcentral lists this ribosomal RNA (401 nucleotides) under uncultured bacterium. RNAcentral describes it as "bacterial SSU rRNA". It matches the Rfam family "Bacterial small subunit ribosomal RNA", at positions 355 to 773 of the family's 1533-position model. The record is from RNAcentral.